UGCCAGCCGCCGCGGUAAUACGAAGGGGGCUAGCGUUGUUCGGAAUUACUGGGCGUAAAGCGCACGUAGGCGGACUUUUAAGUCAGAUGUGAAAUCCCAAGGCUCAAGCUUGGAACUGCAUUUGAAACUGGGAGUCUAGAGAUCAGGAGAGGUUAGUGGAAUACCUAGUGUAGAGGUGAAAUUCGUAGAUAUUAGGAAGAACACCAGUGGCGAAGGCGGCUCACUGGCUCGGUACUGACGCUGAGGUGCGAAAGCGUGGGGAGCAAACAGGAUUAGAUA
Molecule: ribosomal RNA, 279 nt
Filed under: uncultured bacterium
Lineage: Bacteria
Description: partial 16S ribosomal RNA
Rfam family: Bacterial small subunit ribosomal RNA
Source: RNAcentral